UCGUACGAGAGCUUUUAGCUCUAGUGGCGGACGGGUGAGUAACACGUGAGAAUCUGCCCUUAGGAGGAGGAUAACAGCUGGAAACGGUUGCUAAUACUCCAUAUGCCGAGAGGUGAAAGGAUUUAUCCACCUAAGGAGGAGCUCGCGUCUGAUUAGCUAGUUGGUGUGGUAAAGGCUCACCAAGGCAUCGAUCAGUAGCUGGUCUGAGAGGAUGAUCAGCCACACUGGGACUGAGACACGGUCCAGACUCC
RNAcentral lists this ribosomal RNA (251 nucleotides) under uncultured bacterium. Its description in RNAcentral is "partial 16S ribosomal RNA". It matches the Rfam family "Bacterial small subunit ribosomal RNA", at positions 62 to 339 of the family's 1533-position model. The record is from RNAcentral.